UCAAAAGCGCCAUUAAUGCGACUCGAUGC
RNAcentral lists this non-coding RNA (29 nucleotides) under Homo sapiens (human). The record is from RNAcentral. Lineage: Eukaryota; Metazoa; Chordata; Mammalia; Primates; Hominidae.